GGGGGGACGCAGUAGGAUAGGCGAAGCGUGCGAUUGGAUUGCACGUCUAAGCAGUAAGGCUGAGUAUUAGGCAAAUCCGGUACUCGUUAAGGCUGAGCUGUGAUGGGGAGAAGACAUUGUGUCUUCGAGUCGUUGAUUUCACACUGCCGAGAAAAGCCUCUAGAUAGAAAAUAGGUGCCCGUACCGCAAACCGACACAGGUAGUCAAGAUGAGAAUUCUAAGGUGAGCGAGCGAACUCUCGUUAAGGAACUCGGCAAAAUGACCCCGUAACUUCGGGAGAAGGGGUGCUCUUUAGGGUUAACGCCCAGAAGAGCCGCAGUGAAUAGGCCCAAGCGACUGUUUAUCAAAAACACAGGUCUCUGCUAAACCGUAAGGUGAUGUAUAGGGGCUGACGCCUGCCCGGUGCUGGAAGGUUAAGAGGAGUGGUUAGCUUCUGCGAAGCUACGAAUCGAAGCCCCAGUAAACGGCGGCCGUAACUAUAACGGUCCUAAGGUAGCGAAAUUCCUUGUCGGGUAAGUUCCGACCCGCACGAAAGGCGUAACGAUUUGGGCACUGUCUCAACGAGAGACUCGGUGAAAUCAUAGUACCUGUGAAGAUGCAGGUUACCCGCGACAGGACGGAAAGACCCCGUGGAGCUUUACUGUAGCCUGAUAUUGAAAUUCGGCACAGCUUGUACAGGAUAGGUAGGAGCCUUUGAAACGUGAGCGCUAGCUUACGUGGAGGCGCUGGUGGGAUACUACCCUAGCUGUGUUGGCUUUCUAACCCGCACCACUUAUCGUGGUGGGAGACAGUGUCAGGCGGGCAGUUUGACUGGGGCGGUCGCCUCCUAAAAGGUAACGGAGGCGCUCAAAGGUUCCCUCAGAAUGGUUGGAAAUCAUUCAUAGAGUGUAAAGGCAUAAGGGAGCUUGACUGCGAGACCUACAAGUCGAGCAGGGUCGAAAGACGGACUUAGUGAUCCGGUGGUUCCGCAUGGAAGGGCCAUCGCUCAACGGAUAAAAGCUACCCCGGGGAUAACAGGCUUAUCUCCCCCAAGAGUUCACAUCGACGGGGAGGUUUGGCACCUCGAUGUCGGCUCAUCGCAUCCUGGGGCUGUAGUCGGUCCCAAGGGUUGGGCUGUUCGCCCAUUAAAGCGGUACGCGAGCUGGGUUCAGAACGUCGUGAGACAGUUCGGUCCCUAUCCGUCGUGGGCGUAGGAAAUUUGAGAGGAGCUGUCCUUAGUACGAGAGGACCGGGAUGGACAUACCUCUGGUGUACCAGUUGUCGUGCCAACGGCAUAGCUGGGUAGCUAUGUGUGGACGGGAUAAGUGCUGAAAGCAUCUAAGCAUGAAGCCCCCCUCAAGAUGAGAUUUCCCAACUUCGGUUAUAAGAUCCCUCAAAGAUGAUGAGGUUAAUAGGUUCGAGGUGGAAGCAUGGUGACAUGUGGAGCUGACGAAUACUAAUCGAUCGAAGACUUAAUCAA
Molecule: ribosomal RNA, 1459 nt
Filed under: Staphylococcus aureus
Lineage: Bacteria; Bacillati; Bacillota; Bacilli; Caryophanales; Staphylococcaceae
Also listed under: 1 other name
Description: bacterial LSU rRNA
Rfam family: Bacterial large subunit ribosomal RNA
Source: RNAcentral